GCAUAACUGUAAACAUCGAUAGCAAUUUACUCGCAAUCCGCCAGGGAACUACAAGCACUGGCUUGAAACCCAAAGGACUUGGCGGUGCUUUAGACCCACCUAGAGGAGCCUGUUCUAGAACUGAUAACCCCCGUUCAACCUCACCCUGCUUUGCCAUUCCCGCCUAUAUACCGCCGUCGUCAGCUUACCUUGUGAGAGAUUAUAAGUGAGCAAGAUUGGUAUAACCCAAAACGUCAGGUCGAGGUGUAGUGAAUAGCAGGGGAAGAAAUGGGCUACAUUUAUCUAUUGAUAAAUACGGAUCUUUAAUUGAAAAAUGAAGCUGAAGGAGGAUUUAGUAGUAAGAAGGAAAUAGAGUGUUCUUCUGAAGCAGGCUAUGAAGCGCGCACAUACCGCCCGUCACUCUCCCCUAAUACCUCGAAAGACUAAAUAAAACACCUGAAAAAUUAAGGGGAGGCAAGUCGUAACAUGGUAAGUGUACCGGAAGGUGUACUUGGAAUAC
RNAcentral lists this ribosomal RNA (499 nucleotides) under Syngnathus rostellatus (Nilsson's pipefish). Its description in RNAcentral is "partial 12S ribosomal RNA". It matches the Rfam family "Bacterial small subunit ribosomal RNA", at positions 794 to 1526 of the family's 1533-position model. The record is from RNAcentral. Lineage: Eukaryota; Metazoa; Chordata; Actinopteri; Syngnathiformes; Syngnathidae.